GCGCGAAACCUCCGCAAUGUGAGAAAUCGCGACGGGGGGACCCCAAGUGCCAUUCUUAACGGGAUGGCUUUUCUUAAGUGUAAAAAGCUUUGGAAUAAGAGCUGGGCAAGACCGGUGCCAGCCGCCGCGGUAACACCGGCAGCUCUAGUGGUAGCCAUUUUUAUUGGGCCUAAAGCGUUCGUAGCCGGUUUAAUAAGUCUCUGGUGAAAUCCCGUAGCUUAACUAUGGGAAUUGCUGGAGAUACUAUUAGACUUGAGGUCGGGAGAGGUUAGAGGUACUCCCAGGGUAGGGGUGAAAUCCUGUAAUCCUGGGAGGACCACCUGUGGCGAAGGCGUCUAACUGGAACGAACCUGACGGUGAGGGACGAAAGCUAGGGGCGCGAACCGGAUUAGAUACCCGGGUAGUCCUAGCCGUAAACGAUGCGGACUUGGUGUUAGGAUGGCUUUGAGCCGCCCUAGUGCCGAAGGGAAGCUGUUAAGUCCGCCGCCUGGGAAGUACGGUCGCAAGACUGAAACUUAAAGGAAUUGGCGGGGAGCACCACAACGCGUGGAGCCUGCGGUUU
Molecule: ribosomal RNA, 562 nt
Filed under: uncultured Methanobrevibacter sp.
Lineage: Archaea; Methanobacteriati; Methanobacteriota; Methanobacteria; Methanobacteriales; Methanobacteriaceae
Description: bacterial SSU rRNA
Rfam family: Archaeal small subunit ribosomal RNA
Source: RNAcentral